CGGGAGUAACGCGUGGAUAACCUGCUCACGACUGGGGGAUAACAGUUAGAAAUGACUGCUAAUACCGCAUAAGCGCACAGUACCGCAUGGUACAGUGUGAAAAACUCCGGUGGUGUGAGAUGGAUCCGCGUCUGAUUAGCCAGUUGGCGGGUAACGGCCCACCAAAGCGACGAUCAGUAGCCGACCUGAGAGGGUGACCGGCCACAUUGGGACUGAGACACGGCCCAA
Molecule: ribosomal RNA, 228 nt
Filed under: uncultured bacterium
Lineage: Bacteria
Description: partial 16S ribosomal RNA
Rfam family: Bacterial small subunit ribosomal RNA
Source: RNAcentral